This is a long non-coding RNA of Chlorocebus sabaeus (green monkey), 1901 nucleotides long. RefSeq lists it as uncharacterized. NCBI's taxonomy places the organism in Eukaryota, Metazoa, Chordata, Mammalia, Primates, Cercopithecidae. The record is from RefSeq and is a predicted model, not a curated record.
UGAUGAAGCCAUGAGGGCACCACCCUCAUGGAUGGAAUCAGUGCCCUUAUAAAAGAACCCGAAGGAGCUUGUUCAUCCCUUCUGCCAUGUGAUGACGCAGAAAGAAGGAGCCAUCUAUGAAGCAGACAAUGAGCCCUCACCAGACACUAAAUCUGCCGGCACCUUGAUCUUGGACUUCCUGGCCUCUGGAACUGGUCUUGCUAUGUUUGCUCAGACUGGCCUCAAACUCCUCCCAAGUUAAAGCAAUCCUCCCACCUCGGCCUCCUGAGGAGCUGCGAUCACAGGUGUGCGCCACUGCACCUGGCGCCACAUUAACUUCUGAUGUCUCCUUGUGUGUACUGAUAUUUGAAUUAUAAUCUUGGACAGAUUUACUUUGAUCCCUAAAAUUCUUGUAUUAUCUGAUUAUAACCUCAAAGAAUUGAUUAUCACUGGCAAAACACACAUACGUAUGUGAACAAGAAGCUUAUGUUUUAACUGAAAUUGUUUUUCAGAUUUACUGACUGCUCAUUCAUGUCACCCAUAGGUGAUAUAGGACUUUGUAUGUUUUUGUUUUUAUAAAAAGUUAAUUUUACAGUUUUAAAGCAGGAUCUCAAAAUAUACUCACCGCUUGUUUUGCCUCAAGGAUAGUCCUUGUCUUCCUAACAAGGGAGGUGUCAAAUGACUUGACAGUGACUAACUCUACCACUGCAUUGCCACCAUAAAGAUUGUACAUGUCAUCUGCAAACUGAAAGUUAGUUAUUAACGUUAUUGGGAAUCUCAAAUAUGUACUUUUCUCAUUUUUAAUUAACAAAUUAAAAUCAUAUAUAUUUAUCACAUCAACAUAUUGUUUUGAAAUAUGUACACAUUGUGAAAUGGCUUAAGUACACAUUGGCUAAUUAACAUAUGCAUUACCUCACUACUUAUCAUUUUAUGCAAUGAGUCAAACAUACUUAUUAAAAUGAUUUUUAAAGCUUUUGUGCAGCUACAAGAACAAUGUACACUUACCUCCUGGCUCAUGAAAUAUACUACAUCUUAAAAUAAGCAAGUAUUAAAGGUUUUGAUUAUGCUCAACUAUACAGAAAAGUGUUGAGCUUUAACAUAUAUUCAAAUGUUCAGAAUAAAAUUACUUUAAGAAGAGACUGAAUUUGUCAGCAUAUAAAUUGGAGGAGGGAAAGUUGGAAAGAGAAAUGAAGAAAUCUUCCUAAGUGGUCUCUGGUUAAUCACAAACAUCUAUAAAAAUUAAAAUAUGAAGCCUCACUGAAAGGAUGCAGGUGAAGAACUUCAAGGGCAGAGGGGAACUAGCAUUUAUUAUGCAUCUACUAAGUGUCUGGUACUGUGCUGGGUGUUCUACUUCAGUUAUCUCAUAGUGUUUAAGCGGUACAGAGUUUCAGUUGGGGAAGAUGAAAAAGUUCUAGAAAUAAAAGAUAGUGAUGGUUGUACAACAUGUGAAUGUACAGGUACUUAAUAACACUGAACUGGACAAUUAAAAAUGGUUAAAAUGGUAAUUUUAUGUUAUAUAUAUUUUACCACAAAAAUUUUGUAAAGCUUUGUGUGAGAUAACUUUUCCUAAUGCUGUUCUUUCUAGCAUUAGGAAGAAAUAUAUCAAUAUACAUUUUUGACCCUACUCCAUCCUUGGCCAAUAUAAUUAGAGGAACCCCAAAGAAGGCAAGUAAGAGCUCAAUCAACAGUGUUUGAAACAGCAGAUUUUUCUAUUAAGAAGCUAAAAGUGAAAUGGUCAGACUCCAGCCUCUCAUGUCUCAUUGAUAUUUACCUUUUGCAAAGCGUCAACAAGGAUCUUAGAAGCAUCUCUGAAUUGUUCAGAGUCUUCCCCAUAACGCUUCCCAAUUUCAUCCAAACCUGCCAGCUCCAGUGAAUACAAAUCAGGAGAAUGAUCCUUGGCUAGAUGCUUAUGACGAGACAGC